RNAcentral lists this ribosomal RNA (405 nucleotides) under uncultured bacterium. RNAcentral describes it as "partial 16S ribosomal RNA". It matches the Rfam family "Bacterial small subunit ribosomal RNA", at positions 28 to 526 of the family's 1533-position model. The record is from RNAcentral.
GAUGAACGCUAGCGGCGUGCCUUAUACAUGCAAGUCGAACGAAGCGGGGACGGGUGAGUAACACGUGGAUACCCCCCUAUAAGACUGGGUUAACUUCGGGAAACCGAAGCUAAACCGGAUACUUCUCGAUGUAUCCGCGGUGCAUUAGCUAGUUGUUAAGGUAACGGCGUACCAAGGCAAAGAUGCAUAGCUGACCUGAGCGGGGGAUCGGCCACACUGGGACGGAGACACGGGUCAGACUCCUACGGGAGGCAGCAGUAGGGAAUCUUUCACAAUGGGCGAAAGCCUGACGGAGCAAUGCCGCGUGAGUGAUGAAGGUCUUCGGAUCGUAAAACUCUGUUAUUAGGGAAGCGGUACCUAAUCAGAAAGCAACGGCUAACUACGUGCCAGCAGCCGCGGUAAUAC